CAGCAGACACAUUCCUGCCAAUCAGCAGCAGACCCUCCCUCCCAGACCCUCCCACCUCCUGGACAGCAUCCAUUGUGAAGCUACAUUCUUAGUGAGCUGUCCAGGAAGUGGGAGGGUCUGGGAGGGAGGGUCUGCUGCUGAUUGGCUGGACUGUGUCUGCU
RNAcentral lists this microRNA precursor (161 nucleotides) under Pelobates cultripes (western spadefoot toad). The record is from RNAcentral. Lineage: Eukaryota; Metazoa; Chordata; Amphibia; Anura; Pelobatidae.